ACAGAGCUAUCAGUAUCGAGGGCUUCCCCGAAACGGCGACAGUGACAGAGCAAACGUCCCAUGUAAGCUGGUCAGCCCACUGGUUGGCCCAGGGACACUUCUGAAGAGGCUUACUUGCAGGGUUUAAUGAAGGUGCGAGAAUAGUUGGUCCCACUAUUCCAAUGGGUCGAAGCGCCUUCGUAGACCUUCUAGGACGAUCAGAUGCAGAGGUGUCUCGCAGGACGACAGCGGGCUCAGGGUGCCAAACCUUCCAGUGGUUCCUUGACUCAGCUUCUUGUUGCAGGAUACUUGGCUCCUUAUCCUUUUUUCGGUGUGAACUCAGGAGAUCGACAUGGUAGUGGUGGUUUCAGCCUCCUCUUAUCCAAAGUUCCCUUUGCGCCAAAAAAGAGAGGACCCAAUGGGAAAUCUGCUCACAAACACUCACUCCAUACGUGGACCAAUCACGGACCACAGUGGUCCCAGGCAUUCAGGACACUCUAGACUCUCUGGCACCCAGGAUGUGUAUUGGGAACAGACAUACCAGCCCACAUCCUGGAGGCACACACACAAGGCAUGCAGAAGCCCGCAAAAGCUUUGGGUUUUGUGGGAAAGUGCAUGACCAAAUAAGGACUAACCCGGGUCGGCUCGACCUGGGGAAGGUGAAGGGGCAGAUGGCCAAAGGACAGGACAAAGAACCUUGUGACAUGGCCAUUUUGGAGCCAGGCCAUCUAUUCGUGCCAAACGCGGUUAAUGCGGUUAACAUGGCAAAACAGGGUUUGAAACAUAAGAUAAACAAUAGCUGCCACCAGUCCUGUCCGUGACAUACCUGCACAGUUCAUAAGUCCAGUGAGAGUUUCUAGGGCCUUUGGAAUGACUAGAGACCCAAGUGUACUGUAAGGUAAGUUGCAUCGUACACCUGUUACAUGGUGCACAAAAGCUGCAACAUGAGGAAAGGACUAAGGGAAACAGAGUCUCCCAGUACUGACUGUCUUAAGGGCAUGUCAGUUUCCCCAUAAAAAGUGAGCGAACGCCCAGAGGAGUGCAGCUGAGGGCUGUGCUUCUCUGGCAAAGUUUAGUUACAGGUGUAUAACAGCAGCAAAAAGUUUGGGGGUUGACACAUGGAGGGAAAAUUACAUUCAAAUAUGAAAUGUUUCCUAACAAACUGUUAUUAGAAGGUGAUUGUGCACAAUACUUUGGACGCUAUCCUGUGGUGCACCAACCCGGUAUCUAGCGUGAGCCUCGUGCCGUUCGGGAUAAGUUUUCCUUACUAACCUUCCCUCCUUUUGUCGUUCUUUCCUUAUUUGGAUUACUACAAAGACUUGUUGGCGGAGCCCCAGUUGUCCGAAUCUACAGGUUAGUGUUGUCUUAGUUGCUAUUGCUGUGCUAUUAGUGAUAGUUUAUGUUGGGACAAUUCCUCAUUAUACUUUAUUGUAUCCUAGGCUGACUUCCAAUGAUUCUCCCACGCCCUUUCCAGAGAUCCCUCUCUCUGCCUGUUUUAUUAGUCAGAGAGUUGUAUCGUUUGGAAGGUCUAUUUUUGACUUCGCUACAGUCAAGCCAUUUACCUCAUCAAGGAUCCGGAAGAGCCCUACCAAGUGUAUCCUUUAUGGUUAUACCUGUAUCCUUUUUCAUAAGAUACUUGGGUGAUUUAUCACACAAAGUGAAGAAAUUCAAUGAAGUGCGGAUAAACAGCGGGAGUAACUAUGACUCUCUUAAGUUAGCCAAAUGCCCUGUCAUCUAAUUAGUGAUGCUCAUGAAUGGAUGAACGAGAUUCCCACUGUCCCUACCUACUAUCUAGUGAAACCACGGCCGAGGGAACGGGCGAGUCAGAAUCAGCAGGAAAAGAAGACCUGGUUGAGCUUGCCUCUAGUCUGGCACUGUGAAGAGACAAGAUAGGUGUAGGAUAAGUGGGAGGCUCUCAGGCCGCCAGUGAAAUACCACAACUCUUAUUGUUUUUUCACUUACCCUGUGAGGUGCGGGGGGGGCGCACCCCAUGGUGCUCUCACUUCUGGUUCCAAGAGCCUGGGGACAGUGGCAGGUGGGGAGUUUGACUGGGGUGGUACACCUGUCAAACGAUAACGCAGGUGUCCUAAGGCGAGCUCAGGAAGGACCGAAACCUUCUGCAGAGCAGAAGGGCAAAAGCUCACUUGAUAUUUGAUUUUCAGUAUGAAUACAGACGGUGAAAGUGGGGACAUGCAAUCCUUCUGACUUUUUGGGUUUCAAGCAGGAGGUGUCAGAAAAGUUACUGGAUAACUGGCUUGUGGUGGCCAAGCAUUCAUAGUAACGUCGCUUUUUGAUCCUUCGAUGUCGGCUCUUCCUAUCAUUGUGAAGCAGAAUUCCCCAAGGGUUGUAUUGGUCACCCACUAAUAGGGAACGUGAGGUGAGUUUAGACCCUUGUGAGACAGUUUAGUUUUACCCUACUGAUGAUGUGUUGUUGCAAUAGUAAUCCUGCUCAGUACGAGAGGAACCGCAGGUUUAGACAUUUGGUGUAUGUGCUUGGCUGAGGAGCCAAUGGGCGAAGCUACCAUCUGUGGUGUUAUGACUGAAUGCCUCCAAGUCAGAAUCCCCCCUAAACUGUAACGAUACCGCAGCGCUAUCGAGCCUCGGUUGGCCUAGGAUAGCCAGGCGGUGCGUAGAGCCGCUCGCCUCAGGACUCGAGUGUGGCCAGAAGGGGGCCACCUCUCUCGCCUGUAGUGCACCGCAUGUUCGUCGGGAACCUGGUGCUAAAUCAUUCGUAGACGACCUGAUUCUGGUUUAGGGUUUCUUAAGUAGAAGAACAGCUACCUUGCUGCAAUCUAUUGAAAGUCAUCCUCUGAGCCAAGCUU
RNAcentral lists this ribosomal RNA (2801 nucleotides) under Ambystoma mexicanum (axolotl). RNAcentral's name for it is "eukaryotic LSU rRNA". The stretch from base 1483 to 2801 matches the Rfam family "Eukaryotic large subunit ribosomal RNA", at positions 1891 to 3398 of the family's 3401-position model. The record is from RNAcentral. Lineage: Eukaryota; Metazoa; Chordata; Amphibia; Caudata; Ambystomatidae.